UACGAGUGCCCCAAGCGUUAUCCGGAAUUAUUGGGCGUAAAGGGCUCGUAGGCGGUUUGUCGCGUCGGGAGUGAAAUCCACUGGCUUAACUGGUGGCUUGCUUUCGAUACGGGCAGACUGGAGGUAUGCAGGGGAGAACGGAAUUCCUGGUGUAGCGGUGAAAUGCGCAGAUAUCAGGAGGAACACCGGUGGCGAAGGCGGUUCUCUGGGCAUGUCCUGACGCUGAGGAGCGAAAGUGUGGGGAGCGAACAGG
Molecule: ribosomal RNA, 253 nt
Filed under: uncultured bacterium
Lineage: Bacteria
Description: partial 16S ribosomal RNA
Rfam family: Bacterial small subunit ribosomal RNA
Source: RNAcentral